Non-coding RNA from Pelobates cultripes (western spadefoot toad), 676 nucleotides. The record is from the annotation of a GenBank genome assembly. Lineage: Eukaryota; Metazoa; Chordata; Amphibia; Anura; Pelobatidae.
ACCAGUCCUCCCCUUCCCAUCAGUCCAUCCCCAGGGAUGUCCAAGGGCCCCAAGGGAGCGAUGUCACUGGAGAAGGAUAGGGCUAAGGAUCUACAUUUGCAUUGAUUGCCCUGGCUAUGCCGUGUCUGUAGUGGAUUAUGAUGUAAUUUGAUGCAUUUUUGAUAAAAAAAUAAAUAAAUAAAUAAAAACCAAAAAACAGAGCAUCUCAUGGAAAAAUGUUGACCGUGAUGGAGUGGUGAGACAUGCCAGCAAUGGUUACCUCAUCUUAAACAAUCUUUUAUUAAAUAUUGUGUAUUGGUUGGAGUAACCUAUUCAGAUAUAAAGAAUGUCAAACCGUCAGAAGCCCCAUCAGCUGUGCAAGAUCAUUCACAUCUUUUCCUUGAUUUAAACAGUUUUUUGUUUUUUUUUACCAUUACGUUUACAUAUCCCUAUAUUUAACAAAUAUGUAUUUGUGAUGUGUGAAAAAUAAAAUUAAGUGUAGAAAAUCACUCAUCGGGGGGCGGAGCUUGACCGCCAUGCAGACAUGUCGCAGCUACCCGGAGCUCCGAUCAAGAGGCCGACAAAUACACCCAACUUGCGGCAAUCCAGCCAAGUUAAAUGGGUACCUCAACUACCCACCCCACGGAGCACCCAGUGGGCAAAGGCACUAUGCACCAUCCGGGCGCACUUACUGAGG